Long non-coding RNA from Bactrocera tryoni, 775 nucleotides. RefSeq lists it as uncharacterized. The transcript has 3 exons. The record is from RefSeq and is a predicted model, not a curated record. NCBI's taxonomy places the organism in Eukaryota, Metazoa, Arthropoda, Insecta, Diptera, Tephritidae.
AGACAUAUUUUUAUUGGCCGGAAUGUUUGAAAAAUAUGUUUGUGAAUCAUAAAAAUAAAACAAAACAGCUGGUUAUGAAUUAAAACAUUUGCGACUAAUUGUUCCUUUUGGGUUAUCGACACAACCUUAUAUAAUUGAAUCAUUGAGCUUUGUGUACAAAGAGGAAAAUAAAAGUGGAAUACUUAUUAAAGUUUGAUUUUCUAUUAUAACGUGUACAUAUGUAAAUUGUAAUGAAAUCAAAUAUUGUUCUUAAAUACGCGUAGUCUUCGGCAGCUUUGUACAUCUAACUUUUUGGCGCAUUGUACAUCUAGCUUUUAAAAAGCUCUAAGGUAUCAGUAUUUCUCAAGAGAAAUGAAGCAUUCGAAUAAUAGGAUUAAACUACUCCUUUGAAACGCCACUGAAAGUAAAGGCGAGUUCGCGCGGAGACGACUUUGCCGACAAACUGACGUACAAACUCGCAUACAUAUGGUGAAUCAACAUCUUGCGACAAUGUCGGGUUUUUUAUGGUAUGAGGAAGCAUCAAAAGCCGGAUUGCGGGACUUUAAUCUGCUAAACCCAAUAUACUCCACCUAAUAUAUUUUUCAAUUUGUCAUCGAAGAUACAUAUGAAGUGAAUUGUGGUUGACCAGGCGCACAGAAAAAAGAGCACAGCGCACAGUUAUGAACCAGCGUAAUGGACUUCGCAGAAUUUGAUGUCGUUGUAUUAUAAAGCGUAUUGAAGUUUAUAACUAAUAUGCGUGCACAUUUACCACACUUAUUAGAAUAAAUUAUUUACA